UCCGCCCUACGUUCCGACUCGGAGCAUGAUGAGGAUCUGAAUCUGAGUGUGUAAGAGCUUCGUUCAUCCGUCAGAGACAUGUUUUCCCUUUCACUGCACCUCUCUGUGUGUCUCUCUGACCCUCCCUCGCUCACAUGGGUGGUCUCUCUCUCUCUCUCUCUUUCUGCUGCAUUCCGGCUGUUUCUCUCUCUCCUCCACCCAUCCAUCUCUUGCACUGUCUCCUCCCCUAGAGGGGUCUGUCACUCUUGGUCUGUGACUGACCCCGCGCUGAGUCCUGCCACCAGUCUGGAUGCACACGCUCGUGCUCGCUCACAUACUAGCAUAUACCCUGAUCGCUGGGUCAGAUCGACCUGAUGAUUUGCUGAUUAUUGUACUAAUCCUGCUAUUGUGACGUUUUGUCUUCACUGCUCCAGUAGUCAUAGGGACUGGUCAUUGUCUCCCCCCUCCUCACCCAGCACAACUUGCUGACAGGCCCAGUUAAGCUUUUAUCACUAUAAGCUACUGUUCCCUUUCUGCUGUGUACUCGCUGCUUGUUCAGUGCCCCUCUCGCUCUCUUCCUGACUCUGUCUCAGUGUCUCUUUAUCUCUUUCUAUCUCAUUCAUGCUCUGGUUUUUUUGCUCUCUCUCGUGCAUGCUCUGCUGUCUAUCCUGGAGUCUAUAUCAUUCUUCUCUCUUUGUGGCUUUUAGUCUCAGUUCAUCUAUCACUCUCUGCUCCUCCCUCUGUCUCACUUUUCCCCUCUGUGACUGUCACUGUCUGUAUAUGAGGCUGCAUCCCUGUCCGUUUCUCAUUCGAGCCCUGUGAAGACCAGGAUAUGUUGCGAUUCUAAAGAUGCGGGACUGGUGGAUGCGUUACCGACUGUUCUGUCCAAUCCUGGGAGAUUACAGUCAAGGUCCGUGGUCGGGGAGAAAUCUAUUGAGGACCAAUGAGGGUGGCAGAGUCGCUGAAGAGAUUGAUGGAGGAUUACAAGGAAUGGAUGGUUCUACAACAAUGUCACUUACCUUCCAUGUUGAUGGCGCCGAGCUGUCAGAGAGCAGAACUCUCCAGGACAACGAGAUGGAAAGCGACCAUGUAAUCGUUGUCCGGAUAUGGUCCUCCUGAAUGCCCAGCUGUGAACAGUGUUUGUUAUUGGCUGUCGGGAUGAAGGUGUCUGUUGUACAUAUUGACGACUGACCCAGAUCAUGCCCCAAUCUCGUGACAGUUAGGCAAAACAGUAGACGUUAUCAACUUGGACUUUAGUAAAGCAUUUGACAGGGUUCCACAGGGUAGACUAAUCAUUAAAAUUAGAUUACAUGGGAUUCAGGGAGAGCUUGCCAACUGGAUUCAAAAUUGUCUUGAUGGUAGGAGACAAAGAGGGGCCAUGGAGAUUGUUUUUCAGAAGGCCUGUGACCAGCGGUGUUCCACUAGGAUCUGUGCUGUGUACACUUUUGAGUGAGAAUUUAGGAGGCAAGGUUACUAAAUUUGUGGAUGACACCAAAAUUGGUGGUAUAGUCAGCAGUGAAGAAGACUUCCAAAGAUUACAAAGUUAUUUUGAUCUAAUGAAUCAAUGGGUUGAGGAGUAAUGGAUGGAGUUUUAAUUUGAAUAAAUGUGAAGUAUUGCAUUUUAAUAAAACAAACAAGGGCAGGACUUAUACAGUUAGUGGUAGAGCCCUGCAUAAUCUUGUCGACUAGACUUCCCCAGGGGUUCAGGUACGUAGUUCUUUGAAAUUUACAUUACAGGUAGACAGGGUGGUUAAGAAGGAAUUUAGCAUGUUUGCCUUCUUUGCUCACACCAUUGAGUAUAGGAGUUGGACCAUCAUGUUGAGGCUGUACAGUACAUCGGUGAAACCACUUUUGGAGUACGGUGUACAAUUCUAGUUGCCCUGCUGUGGAAGAAUAUUAUUAAAUUGGACAACGUUCAGAAGAAAAAAAAAACUAUCAGUACGUUGCCAGGACUGGAGGGUUGAGUUCUAAGGAUAGGCUGGGACUAUUUUCACUUGAGCAUAGGAGGUUUGGCUUUAUCUUAUAAAAGUGUCUCAAAUCAUGAGGGGCAUAGAUAAGAUCAAAGCCGAAUAUUUUUUUUUUCCCGAGUGGAUGAGUUCAAGAUUGGGGGCCUGUUGUAAGGUGAGAAGAGAAAGAUUUAAAUGGCACCUGGAGGGCAACUCGUUUAUGUAUAGAGGGUUGUAUAAGUGUGGAAUGAACUGCUCAAUAACUCUGCUGUAUCAAUAAAGGGAGUCAUGACUUUUCUAAUAA
This is a long non-coding RNA of Rhincodon typus (whale shark), 2229 nucleotides long. RefSeq lists it as uncharacterized. The record is from RefSeq and is a predicted model, not a curated record. The transcript is spliced from 2 exons. Lineage: Eukaryota; Metazoa; Chordata; Chondrichthyes; Orectolobiformes; Rhincodontidae.